AAACGACCGUUGUGACUCUCUCUAUAAAUACACCUUUCGUCGUUCAGAUACCUGAAUCCUCUCUUUACUCCUAAGUUUACUUCUUACAAACAAAAAUGUCAAAUACAAAAACAAAUACUCUUACUUCUUCGGUUCUUCCCACUUGAAGAGUUCUUCUCUCACUCAAGCUUGUCUACACAUGUCAUUACCGGAGACCGAGAGAGAACAAGCAUAAGCAUCCCCUCGUAUAAGAGGUAAGAUACUCUUGUCUAAUUCCUCUAGUUUUAUUUUUUUUCAUGGUUCUUGUAGUAGAUUGUUUACUUGUGUUCUUCAUCUUUUGUGUAGCUGAACAUCGAAUUCAAAAUGAUCUGUUAUAAAUCCAUUUUAUAUAUAUUAUUGUCUUAACUUGUUCAUCAACUAUGUGUUUAUAAACUGGUUUUUGGCUAUUAAUCUGUCUUUUAAUAAAGUGAUAUUGUGAUUAUUUUAUGUAGAAAACAUGAUCUAGAUAUGUAGAAAACAUGGAAUGAAAAUUUUAGUUUUGUUGGAAAUUUAUUUAAGACAUAGAAUGAUUUUUUUUUUUUUAUGAAUAUAUAAAAUGAAGUUUUUUUUUCUCUUUUUAAAGAAAACCAAAGAAAUGUUAGACUAGGAUAUAUUUUUAUUUUUUAAUUUUAUGCAUGUUCCAAAAUUGACGAAAGAAAAAGUUAGAUUGUAGUGAAAACUGAUUUUGAUAAAUUAAUUUUGCAGAUGAGUUGAAGCAUUGAAGGGGAGACAAAGCUUUUAGGACUGUGUCCGGCGUCAAAUCAUCUGCUUUGUGAAGCUGGCCAGAGUGUAUGUAGCAAUAUUUGUAUUAUCCCUUUCUUUUUUUCCUGAUAAAGAUGUGUGAAUGUCUAGAUGUAUGUUAGGUUUUAAAUGUAUCAUGUAUGUGUAGGAGUGAAUGUAUAGAUGUAUGUGUAGGUGUUGUUGGUGUAGAUGUAAAUAGAUGUAUCAUGUAUAGAUGUAUGUAUAGGGUGUAAAACUGUAAAUGAUAGGAGGGCUUGUUUGUGAGGGCGCCGAAGAGGUGAGACUACUGUGUAGUCUGCGAGAGGAACUAUGCGCGCGCGGUUCCUAAAAGGCUAUAACGAUCGCCUAGACACACACACAAGUAAAAUACAAACACUAAAAUGUGACAAAGAGCAAACUAUUAAAAAAGCAUGUCAAAAUGUAAGUCUACACACGAAAUUGAACGCCAACACAUCAAAAUGUUUAGUCGAAACACAUAAUAAACACGCCAAAAGGAAGUAACAACACAAAGGAAAUUUGUCAAGGCGUAAAUGUGACAAGAUAGGGCCGGUUAAAAAAAAACAAAACACAAAACGAUCGCUAGUCGAAACACUAAAAAAAAGAAAUGUAAAAAUCAGAACCAGAUAAAUUAGUUUUUCAAAAUACCUUUUUUGUUUAUCUAUUUUCAAAAAUACCACUGUUUAGUAUGGUUUUUAGUACUGUUUAGUAUGGUUUCAAAAAUACCAAAUAAUUUAUAAGUUUUAUAUGGUUUUUAAAAGGUUAAACAAGUUUUAGAUGACAAAAAAAAAAACGAUAAAUUUUUAUACACUUGUUUAAAUAUGAAAAAUCUAAUGUAAAGGUAAUUUGUGUUAUUUAUAAAC
This 1619-nucleotide long non-coding RNA is filed under the name Capsella rubella. RNAcentral describes it as "long non-coding RNA (CRUB_LNC004022)". The record is from RNAcentral. Lineage: Eukaryota; Viridiplantae; Streptophyta; Magnoliopsida; Brassicales; Brassicaceae.